UCGGGAAUUUUGGGCAAUGGGCGAAAGCCUGACCCAGCAACGCCGCGCGAGGGAUGAAGUAUUUCGGUAUGUAAACCUCGAAAGAAUGGGAAGAAUAAAUGACGGUACCAUUUAUAAGCUCCGGCUAACUACGUGCCAGCAGCCGCGGUAAUACGUAGGGAGCAAGCGUUGUUCGGAUUUACUGGGCGUAAAGGGCGCGUAGGCGGCGCGGUAAGUCACUUGUGAAAUCUCUGAGCUUAACUCAGAACGGCCAAGUGAUACUGCUGUGCUAGAGUGCGGAAGAGGCAACCGGAAUUCUUGGUGUAGCGGUGAAAUGCGUAGAUAUCAAGAGGAACACCUGAGGCGAAGGCGGGUUGCUGGGCCGACACUGACGCUGAUGCGCGAAAGCCAGGGGAGCAAACG
This 402-nucleotide ribosomal RNA is filed under the name uncultured bacterium. RNAcentral describes it as "bacterial SSU rRNA". It matches the Rfam family "Bacterial small subunit ribosomal RNA", at positions 355 to 774 of the family's 1533-position model. The record is from RNAcentral.